Molecule: ribosomal RNA, 873 nt
Filed under: Triticum aestivum (bread wheat)
Lineage: Eukaryota; Viridiplantae; Streptophyta; Magnoliopsida; Poales; Poaceae
Description: partial small subunit ribosomal RNA
Source: RNAcentral
CAGACGUUCCCUGCCGUUUAGGACGACAAAGUGUGUUUUUGUCUUGUGGCUCAAAGACAGAACCAAGCCAUGUCGGGCCGACACCGUGCGUGCCUGCCGCCUAGGCUAGUGGUAGCUCCAAGUCUAAACUCCCUCCCCUUCCUACCCCCGCACCUACAGGGCCCACACCAAAGAGUACAAGGGCCGGUUCCUCAUGUUCUAGCACCAGCACCCCGAGCUGUUGCGGCCUUUCUGGUGGUGCGAGAUGUUCGAGGUGGAUCCGCUCCGCCAGUGGCGGCGCGGGUGGUAGCCGUCGUUGCAGCUCCUCCAGCACAAGUUCUUAUAUGCGAAGCUCCACACCCUAGAACCUCCUGUUCUCUCGGAUGCGCGAAGUACCCGCUGUAUGAUAUCUCCUUGAGUACGACAGUAGCACCAUUAGCUGUCGUGGCUGGCACGAGCCUAGUUGUAGUAGUUCCUACUCGAGAAGGCCAACUAAGUCGUACGUCUAGAACUGUUGUGCCACCAGGAACACAAACGCUUGUUCGUCCUAGAGUUCCUACGGUACAGCCGCCGACUCUAGUGUCUGCGGGACAGGGAGGUGUCGUAUUUCUUGGUGCUGACCGUGUAUGUCCGGAGCACACGCUAGUGACCACUCCCGGAGAUACUACCCUACCCUACCUAUCGCGUCUUUCAACGGCCUUUCCGGUGCCGUUCGACUGGUGUUUUUGUAACACACAAAACCACUUAAACAACCUUUACCCACCCUCCUACCCAAACAACAAGGACGGUAAACCCACAAAUAAAUACAACAAUGUAUGAGGGAGACAAGGAAGUACAUUCCACAUAAUAAAAGCCGUGACACUGGUUCCGUGUUUUAAUAUCUGUACACUACUG